This is a non-coding RNA of Malassezia cuniculi, 95 nucleotides long. The record is from the annotation of a GenBank genome assembly. Lineage: Eukaryota; Fungi; Basidiomycota; Malasseziomycetes; Malasseziales; Malasseziaceae.
GGGCGUGUGGUCUAGUGGUAUGACGUUUCCUUCGCACACCUGCGACUGGCUGAAUAGUCAGGAAAAGGUCCCGGGUUCGAAUCCCGUCUCGUCCA